AUUGAACGCUGGCGGCAUGCUUUACACAUGCAAGUCGAACGGUAACAGGGUGCUUGCACCGCUGACGAGUGGCGAACGGGUGAGUAAUGCGUCGGAACGUGCCGAGUAGUGGGGGAUAACGCAGCGAAAGUUGUUCUAAUACCGCAUACGUACUGAGGUAGAAAGUGGGGGACCUUCGGGCCUCACGCUAUUCGAGCGGCCGGCGUCUGAUUGGCCAGUAGGUGAGGUAAAGGCUCACCUAGGCGACGAUCGGGAGCGGGUCUGAGAGGAUGAUCCGCCACACUGGGACUGAGGCACGGCCCAGACUCCUACGGGAGGCAGCAGUGGGGAAUUUUGGACAAUGGGCGAAAGCCUGAUCCAGCCAUGCCGCGUGUCUGAAGAAGGCCUUCGGGUUGUAAAGGACUUUUGUCAGGGAGGAAAUCCCUAGUGCUAAUAACACUGGGGGAUGACAGUACCUGAAGAAUAAGCACCGGCUAACUACGUGCCAGCCGCCGCCGUAA
RNAcentral lists this ribosomal RNA (500 nucleotides) under uncultured bacterium. Its description in RNAcentral is "partial 16S ribosomal RNA". It matches the Rfam family "Bacterial small subunit ribosomal RNA", at positions 30 to 523 of the family's 1533-position model. The record is from RNAcentral.